UGGAUCCAGACUUUGAUUCUGGCUCAGGAUGAACGCUAGCGACAGGCUUAACACAUGCAAGUCGAGGGGCAGCAUGAACUUAGCUUGCUAAGUUUGAUGGCGACCGGCGCACGGGUGAGUAACGCGUAUGCAACUUACCUAUCAGAGGAGAAUAGCUCAUCGAAAGAUGAAUUAAUGCUCCAUAAAACAGGGGUCCCGCAUGGGAAUAUUUGUUAAAGAUUCAUCGCUGAUAGAUAGGCAUGCGUUCCAUUAGGCAGUUGGCGGGGUAACGGCCCACCGAACCGACGAUGGAUAGGGGUUCUGAGAGGAAGGUCCCCCACAUUGGUACUGAGACACGGACCAAACUCCUACGGGAGGCAGCAGUGAGGAAUAUUGGUCAAUGGCCGAGAGGCUGAACCAGCCAAGUCGCGUGAAGGAUGAAGGAUCUAUGGUUUGUAAACUUCUUUUAUACGGGAAUAAAGUGGGUCACGUGUGGCUUUUUGUAUGUACCGUAUGAAUAAGCAUCGGCUAACUCCGUGCCAGCAGCCGCGGUAAUACGGAGGAUGCGAGCGUUAUCCGGAUUUAUUGGGUUUAAAGGGUGCGUAGGUGGUCUUUUAAGUCAGCGGUGAAAGUUUGUGGCCCAACCAUAAAAUUGCCGUUGAAACUGGGAGACUUGAGUAUGUCUGAGGUAGGCGGAAUGCGUGGUGUAGCGGUGAAAUGCAUGGAUAUCACGCAGAACUCCGAUUGCGAAGGCAGCUUGCCAAGCCAUAACUGACACUGAAGCACGAAAGCGUGGGUAUCAAACAGGAUUAGAUACCCUGGUAGUCCACGCAGUAAACGAUGAUUACUAGGAGUUUGCGAUAUAAUGUAAGCUCUACAGCGAAAGCGUUAAGUAAUCCACCUGGGGAGUACGCCGGCAACGGUGCAACUCAAAUGAAUUGACGGA
RNAcentral lists this ribosomal RNA (925 nucleotides) under uncultured Bacteroidota bacterium. RNAcentral's name for it is "bacterial SSU rRNA". It matches the Rfam family "Bacterial small subunit ribosomal RNA", at positions 1 to 917 of the family's 1533-position model. Lineage: Bacteria; Pseudomonadati; Bacteroidota. The record is from RNAcentral.